This is a long non-coding RNA of Poecilia latipinna (sailfin molly), 3133 nucleotides long. RefSeq lists it as uncharacterized. Lineage: Eukaryota; Metazoa; Chordata; Actinopteri; Cyprinodontiformes; Poeciliidae. The record is from RefSeq and is a predicted model, not a curated record. The transcript has 2 exons.
GAAGGGUCUUUGUGAUUGGCGGAGCCCUGGAUUCAAGUUAUCCACUCUAAAACCAGUGGAUAACUGGCCAGGCAGCGACUGGGAGCGGUGUCAAGGAAGGAAGGAAGCUCAGUCCCGAUGACGCUCUCAGCGUCCUCACCACUCUCUCUACACGCUGCCAGUCUGAGGUUGUUGCAUGCUCCAAAUUAGACAGAGAUGCUGCUGGUCAGUUUGCUCUCUAUUAUUCCUCUAUGGUGAGGAUGAGAGGGAGGACGUUUGCUUUUCUCAUUCGACGUAAAAAGUGCAGACAUUGCUGAACUUUUUUCACCAGACCAGAGGUUUGGAGGGACCAGGUCAAAGUUUCUCUAUCUGCUCCACUGCAGCAUCAUUGAUGAGGAGGAUUGUGUGACUUGGCUGAUUUUUCCUGAAAUCAACAAUUUAUUUUGUUUAGAAAUUAGAUGUGGAACAAAAAAAAAGAGUAACAUGAAUUAAUCUGCUGAUUCAGAUUCACAUGUUAUAAUAUUUACUUCCAUUGUUCAUUUACUAGGCUAAAGUUUCAAAUGACCGGUAUGAUUAUGAUGUUUUUUUAGUUAAGACUGUUAAAUCGAUCUGCUUUAGCAUGUGUUUUUUUUUUUUGUUUGUUUGUUUGUUUUUUUCUUAUUGAGUAUUUUCUGCUUUAAUUCCUCAAAAUCCGCCAUUAAAAGAUGUUCAUUUGGUGUGGGGAAUAUAGCGUACGCAAUAUGUUUAACGUGGCACCUGUGAAUCUGUGAUCAAUCUCAUGGUCUACUGAAGAAAUCUGUUAAUUCACUUGAAUUACUUAAGCCUAGCAUGACAUAGUCGCUCCUUCUGAUAAAACUGGGAUGAACUGAUGGCGUUAGUCAAGCCUGGCUUUAUCUCUUAUCCUGGAUUUUGUAAUCCUACUUUUGUGAAACAGCCCUCUGGAAAAACUAAACAGUGUUCAAACUGUUUUCUCUGAACACAGCUCAUUAGUAAGCACAGAGACAAAUUAAAGACCCAGUUAAAGACAUGGGAAUAAAAUGUACCAAUUCAAAAAGCAUUAUGGAAAUCCUUUGGUGUGAACUUGACACAAUGGUCUGCUUAUAUAAGCCAGCGCUUAGUUGUGCAAUGAGCUGCCCAGCAGUGGUGGAUGAGUCUGGAAACUACUGGUUUCCAUAGCAUUGAAUGACUCAUAACAUCUUCUACUCCCUCUCUUCUUCUGGCCUUGAGCACACUCAUAGCGAAUAAGCUGCACCACACAGACUGCAGAAGAGGAUCUCUGUUGAGAUUCAGUUUUUAAGAUGCUAUUUAAGCAUCAUUCUGAUCUGAGAUCACACAGAAAGGUAGAAUAAUCAGUGACAUCUUCUAUCCUGUGGCUUCAGUACUGGGACAUUCAAAAGCUCCUUCGCAUUUUUAUCAUGCUGAUUAAAUCAUCCAUGCAGCUGUAGAAGGAAACAAGCCUAUAAAUAGUGCUUUUAUUAAGACAUAGUUCACAUGCCUCAAAGCUCUUGGAAUGAAAGAGCUUCAUUUGUCAGAUGGUUUCAGUGGCUCUCAUCACUUUGGCAAGGGCUCUCUCCUCUGGUUUUAUAGGCAACUACAUCUUCAUGUCUGUACAGUAGUGAUCCAAACCAAGUUCAUCUUCUGAACCCAGAAGGAUUUCUAAGGAUAAUACUUUUAAAUCCUAAUACAAUGUAGUGACAGCCACAGGACCAUCUCAAUAACAGAAUGUUAAUGUAUUACAGUAUAUUAUAUUUAUGAAAGAAACACAAGAAGACAUAGUUAAGAAAGUCAUAAGGUGUUCUUUUUAAAAUUUGCAGGAAACAGCAGCCAAAAAUGCUCUGUGCAGAUUAGAAUAAAAAGCUUUAUGACCUACAUGCAAAAUGUUAUGUGAGCUGAUGUUAAACUAAUCAAACUUAACUGUUGGGACCCAAACCAUGAAGGACUGAACUAAAUACAGAACAAAGAGAUAGAUUAUGACAUGUCUGUGUUCAUGUCCUGGGAUUGUUCCCAGGUCACCCUACACCCUCUACCUGCACAAUCUUUUUCUUUCAACAGUUUGAGUUGCUCAACAAUCUAUUUCUAAAUCAGCAAACUGAGUUGUUGGUCAUCUCUGCUCUCCUUUUAGUUCCCCUUUUCCCUAACAUUUACCUACUAUCUAACUUUGAUUAACUUAAUCAAAGUUAAUCAACUUAACUUUCAUUUAAGUUACACCUUUUACAUCAUUUCAAGUUCAUUAUCAAAAUCACAUCUAUAACCUCAUUAGCUUCUGAUUUAGCAUUCAUUUAUAAUAUUAUGAUAACCAUAACUUAUUAGUUAUCAUAAUGCAAGUAAUUAUGCGUUCUUCUGAAAAGAAAACAGGAAUCAUCCAUGAUUCUAAUUAUUUGAAACCAAAGUUACAGUUGUUCAUUCUUACAAGUAAAACAAUAUUAAUAUAAGGUUUUGGCUUUGAACUUAUUCAAUUACUCAAUGUGUUUAGACUUCAUUCUAUAAAACAUUCAUGCACUGGAAUAAGGAAUAGUCUCAACUAUUUUUUUUUAUAAAUCUGUACUUUAUUUUUAAAGGCACACACCUGUUUACUGUCCCAUAGUUAACAAUGCAGGUCAGAGGUCAAACACCAAGCAUGAAAUCAGAGGAGUUAAUGAUUGGACGUUCACAAAAACCAAACUAGAUUUUAAUUGAAACAAAUUUAUUAGCUCCUUCACAACUGCAGAUGUUAAAACAAUAACAGCAGCAUUGUUUAGUGUUUGUCAGGAAAUCAGUCUUCUCUUAUAGAUUUGAAAUAAAAUGUUACAGUGCAAUGAAACCCAACAGCAGCAUUAGGAGCAAACUCUUGGAGCUAAAAGGUAACUAAACACUACAAACACAACUGAUUAUGAAGAAAAUACAAACUAAAUGGUGGCAGUUGAAUUAAACCAUUAUGAGAGUGGCUUUCUGUUGUCCCAUGUGGUUCAACACGUCAUCGCACAUGAAAUAUCAUGAUUCUGCAUAUUUAUAUCAUUGCUUGCUCCUAAGAAACACACAACUGUUUUGUUACAAAUUAAUCUCUGAAUAAAUAUGUUAUUCAUGACAUGCCAUCUUAUUAUCUAAACUAAAUCACAAGUUUAUUCAAUCAUCAUAAAUUCCCUAUAUGCCACAAACAAACUGCAGCAAAAUUCAG